RNAcentral lists this ribosomal RNA (486 nucleotides) under uncultured bacterium. Its description in RNAcentral is "partial 16S ribosomal RNA". It matches the Rfam family "Bacterial small subunit ribosomal RNA", at positions 29 to 507 of the family's 1533-position model. The record is from RNAcentral.
AACGAACGCUGGCGGCGCGUCUUAACCAUGCAAGUCGAGCGGCAGGCAGCAAUGCCGAGAGCGGCGGACUGGUGAGUAACACGUGGAUAACGUACCCCGAUGUCCGGGACAGCCUGUAGAAAUAGAGGGUAAUACCGGAUAGAUCACUGUUUACGUGAGGUAGACAGCGGGAAAGGAGCUUCGGCUCCGCGACGGGAUCGGUCUGCGGCCCAUCAGCUGGACGGCGGGGUAAAGGCCCGCCGUGGCGAGGACGGGUAUCCGGCCUGAGAGGGCGGACGGACACAUUGGGACUGAGAUACGGCCCAGACUCCUACGGGAGGCAGCAGGUAAGAAUAUUCCGCAAUGGGGGGAACCCUGACGGAGCGACGCCGCGUGAACGAAGAAGGCCGGAAGGUUGUAAAGUUCUUUUCUGUCCGAGGAAUAAGAUUCGGAGGAAAUGCCGGGACGGUGACGGUAGGGCAGGAAUAAGCACCGGCUAAUUACGUG